This 306-nucleotide signal recognition particle RNA is filed under the name Carlito syrichta (Philippine tarsier). RNAcentral describes it as "Metazoan signal recognition particle RNA (ENSTSYG00000030720.1)". It matches the Rfam family "Metazoan signal recognition particle RNA". Rfam says of the family: The signal recognition particle (SRP) is a universally conserved ribonucleoprotein. The record is from RNAcentral. Lineage: Eukaryota; Metazoa; Chordata; Mammalia; Primates; Tarsiidae.
GUCAACUCCCUGGGUGUAGUUGUGUGUGCCUGUAGUCCAGAAUAUUGGGAGACUGAGGUGGGAGGAUUGCUUGAGUCUAGAACUUCUGGGCUGUUGUACUCUAUGCCAGUUGAGUGUCUACACUAAGUUUGACAUCAAAAUGGUGACCUCCUGGGAGCAGGGGACCACCAGGCUGCCUAAGGAGGGGUGAACUGGCCCAGGUCAGAAGCAGAGCAGGUCAGAACUCCUGUGCUGAUCAGUAGUGGGAUCGUACCUGUGAAUAACCACUGCACUACAGCCAGGACAACAUAGCAAGACCUCAUCUCU